UACGUAGGGCGCAAGCGUUGUCCGGAAUUAUUGGGCGUAAAGAGCUCGUAGGCGGUCUGUCGCGUCGGCUGUGAAAGCCCGGGGCUCAACCCCGGGUCUGCAGUCGAUACGGGCAGGCUAGAGUGCGGUAGGGGAGGCUGGAAUUCCUGGUGUAGCGGUGAAAUGCGUAGAGAUCCGGAGGAACACCAAAGGCGAAGGCAGUGUCCUGGGGAGUACCUGACGCUCAGGUGCGAAAGCCAGGGGAGCGAACGGG
RNAcentral lists this ribosomal RNA (253 nucleotides) under uncultured bacterium. RNAcentral's name for it is "partial 16S ribosomal RNA". It matches the Rfam family "Bacterial small subunit ribosomal RNA", at positions 524 to 776 of the family's 1533-position model. The record is from RNAcentral.